This 253-nucleotide ribosomal RNA is filed under the name uncultured prokaryote. RNAcentral's name for it is "partial 16S ribosomal RNA". It matches the Rfam family "Bacterial small subunit ribosomal RNA", at positions 524 to 776 of the family's 1533-position model. The record is from RNAcentral.
UACGGAGGGUGCAAGCGUUAUCCGGAUUUACUGGGUUUAAAGGGUGCGUAGGUGGGUCUGUAAGUCAGUGGUGAAAUCUUCAAGCUUAACUUGGAAACUGCCAUUGAUACUAUAGGUCUUGAAUUAUCUGGAGGUGAGCGGAAUAUGUCAUGUAGCGGUGAAAUGCUUAGAUAUGACAUAGAACACCUAUUGCGAAGGCAGCUUACUACGCAUAUAUUGACGCUGAGGCACGAAAGCGUGGGGAUCAAACAGG